UCUGUGAUUUCCAUUCCUGGUCAACUGAGCUCAGUGGAUGUAACUUCAACGGAAGGCCAGUCAGAGGCAGCCAUGGUGGGACAGUGGCUCUCUUCCUAUAAGAAGACACUUGGGACAAGAGGACAUUUGCCCACUGGGGAGCACAGGUUUGGGACCUGGGGUUGGGGACCUGGGGCUCAGCUUGUCUCUCGGGUCAGAGAAAGAGGCUUCUGUGAUGGCGGCUGAGAUAGGGAACCAAAUCAAACAACCAAAUUAGCAAAUACCACAAACUGGGCCAGUUUGUCUGGUUGACACCAGCUCUCUGACCACAGAGACCUUCCUUGGAAAAGUGACUGCAGAGGCAGCAAGUAAGGGCUGCCAGACCCAGCCUCAGCCAGUGCCCGGUGAUGACCGAAACCCCCAGGUUGGACGAAGGCUCACAGUGCUGUGUUGUGAUUGACUCUGCGUAUACUCAGCUGACUGACAUACAAAUAUGCCACCCUGCCACAGCCAUCCUUCCUGAGCUGGAUGAGAAGGGAAAGGGCAAGACAAUACCUUAUAUCCAUAGUAACCAAGCCACUCCAUGCCCAAACCCUUCAGUGAUUCCCAACAGGCCUCAGGAUAAAGUCCAAGGUCGCUGACAUUGGUGAAAAGUCCCUUCGUCCUCUGGCCCCUCCCUGAAAGAUUUCUAAUCUCCUCUCUCCCCAGCCAUCCCACCUUCCUCUCUCUCUCUUCACAAAUACUCUACUAUUCCACCCAUAAGCCAUGAUAACUAUUUUUUAAAUUUAAUUUUUUAAAUUUAAUUUUUUAAGCUUAAUUUUUAUUUUAUAUUGGAGUACAGUUGAUUUAUACUGUUGUGUUAGGUUCAGGUGUACAGCUAAGUGAUUCAUUUAUACAUAUACAUAUAUCCAUUCUUUUACAGAUUCUUUUCCCAUAUAGGUUAUUACAGAACAUGAUGACUAUUUACAGGUUUUAAAAAAUAAUAAUAUUCUGUCUUUUUCACUUUCCCUCUGCCAGCAAGCCACUCCCUCUGCCUGGAGUACCUAUCCCUAAUCUCUACCUGACUAAUCUCAGAACUUCAGAAACUAGUUCAAUUCUUCCCUGAACAGUCCCCAUUCUGUGUUACCUAGGCAGCUGUUGGUGUCUGUGUUUGUUCUUGUCCUGGUGCCUAUUCUGCUCUUUUGGACCUGAAUCUCCUCUGGUCUGUCCCUUUGUAAGAUGUGAGCUCCUGCAGGGCAGAAACAACAUUCUCUACUCUCCUUUGACUCCUAUGGAGUGCCUUGUCCAUAAUAGAUACAUAAUGAAUGUGUGUUCAAAUGUGUGGUCAGUGCAGAGCAUACGUGAACAUGAGCUGUCUCAAUGUGUGGCUGUGAGAGGGCACAUUCUCUUACAUCCUCUGUCUGAUGCAGCAGAGCCUAGUUUCCUCCCCAUUGUUGGGGCUCUCCCUUUCUGGUGCUUUUUGUCCUUCUAUGCUGGCCCAUGUCAAACACGCCUUCUUUGUGUGUUGUGUUCAGCCUGUGCUUUCUUCCUUGCUGGAUCUUUAGCCUCUGAAGAGCAGGAACAUAUCUUUCUCAAUCUUGGUUCCUCUUUCUAUUCAGGGUCUUGGCAGACUUUUGCAUAUAAGAGAACUUAAUAAGGGUUGGCUGGAUUUUCUAGGAUGAUACAGUUCACAAAAAGACAAAACUGGGAUCAAAAAUUCCAAAGGGUAUAUAUCCAAGAAUCUCUUUACAUAGGUGAGAUAGAGUGUGCUACGUUCAUAAGUGUUUUGCUACCUGUGGCCCUCUCCCCUAGGGAGUAUCCUUCCCUAUCUCGUUAAUGAUGGCAACCCUGGUCAUGUGACUUUUGUAGCAUAUAAAAUGUAAACCUUAAGAGCCACGUUCAUGCCACAGCCACGAAAGGCCAAAGAGUCACGACCCCAAAACGUAGUGUGGGGUGCUGGAUGGGAUCCUGGAACAGGAAAAGGACAGUAGGAAAAAACUGAAAAGAUGGGAAUCAGGUAUGAACUUACAAUAAUGUAUUCAUAUUGAUUCGCUAAUUGUAAUAAACAUACCAUAGUAAUGUAAAGUGUCUGUAACAGGGGAAAUUGGGUGUGGUUAUAUGAGAACUCUUUGUACUAUCAUCACAUGUUUUCUGUAAAUCUAAAGUUUUAAAAAAUAAAGUUAUUUAAAAAAAAGAAAGAGCCACUUUCAGUACACCCUCUUUCCUCUCUGCUGUGAGGACUGACCAUGUUCCAGAUUGAGGCUGCUCUGUAAGCCUGCAUCCUGAAGCCAAAUUAAUGUGUAGCAGUGCUGCAGCUGACCCUCAGUGUACAUGUAAGGUGAGCAAGCAAUAAGCCUUUGUUAUUUUAAGGCACUGAAUGUGGGCUCAUUAGUUAGUGCAGCAUGACUUAGCCUAUCCUGACUGAUAAACUGGGACAUACAGGAAUGAACUUCUUUCUUCCAAGGAGAUUGCAAUCCUAGUUCUGUUUGACUUUGCCCAAAGGGAAAAUGCAUGCUUAAGUCCAGUGCAUGCUGAGUAGUAGCUGAGACAGUGACUCAGGUGUGUGUACGUGCUGUGUGUGGUGUGUGUGUGGAUAUGUGUGCACAUGUGUGAGAAUAGGUGACUGUGUAUGAAUAGGUGACUGUGUGCAGGGGUGGGAUGCAGGAGCAGCGGGGAGGGGAAGGGGAAUGGAGGAGCCAGCCUGGGCUUACACAGUACACAGCAAGGAGCAUUUGCCUGUGGGCAACUGAUCUUUUGCUCCAAAUGACUUUCUGUCUGCGGUUGGGAAGCUAAAUAAACCUGUUCCUCACUCUAGCCACAGGACUAUGUGCCCAACCACAUGAUACAUCAGGCUCGGGCAGUUAAGGCAGAGUGCCACCUGCUGGGCUUUUCAAGCCAGUGCAACUAUUUCCAAUUUUAGCAGAGUUCCUCCCUCAGAAGUCUGGUUCAGACCCACAGGGUGGAGGCCUCAGAUGCCAAGGUGACCCUGGUGAUCGCUUCACUUCACUUUACAGGCAGAGAAACUAAGGACCUCAGCCAGUAUGUUUUCUUCUGACAGCCUCUCAAGCUGGGCCACACUACCCCUAGAAGGAGGGACCAGCUACUUCUCCAUUGGUGCCAGUACAAUUCCAAGUUUCCCUUGCUGGUUAAAGAUGGUGGUGGGGUUCAAAGAAGACAGACAGGUUUGGGUCAGUGCAUGGGGUGGGGAAGAGGCAAGGACUCUGUGUGGCUCAAUAAAGCCAACCUGGAUGGAGAGUGAGAGAAGGUUCCUUGCAAUGGCUUCCAUUUACUGAACAUUGACUACGUAAAAUGCAAGACUCUUUAGGUUGUUGUCCCCAGUCUCUGCCGGAAAAGCAGUACCUUCAUUUAGCAAAUGAGGAAACUGAAAUCUAGAGAGGUUAAGUAACUGUCCCAGAGUCACGUAGCUGGUAAAUGGUGGGGUCAGAAUUCAAACCCAUGUCAAUUUUGUUCUAAGACUGAACUCUGCACUGUAUCAUGCCAUCUCGCCCCCAAACCAUAGACUCUCCAUGCCUCUUGACUGCAUCCUUCCUGCACAGGAACUGUGGAUAGACAGGGUUCAGCAUGCACUGGCCACAUGGCAUGGUUCUUUCAGGGAGUCAAUAGACUACAGAAUGAGGGCUUGCUGAGCAGACACCAGGUGUGUGCAGGGAGCAAAGCCUCGACUGUAGAUGACCCCAGUCACAUGUGAAACCACUGCCUCAGAACAUCAUGCAAGUCCUUAAAUGAUGCAGCUUACAUUGAUGGAGGACCUAUCAGUGCCAAGCCCUGUGUUUAGUGAAGAAACAGGCAGUGAGUGGGGCAGGAAGACAAGUGACUGGGUGAUUACAACAGAGCAUGAUACUCUCCAGCCAGCUAAGGGCAGCACUUGAAGGCAGCCUUAGGAUAUUUAAAUCUCCCCUGGGGGUCACAAAAGUCUUCCAGACAAGCAGAUAUGGAGCAUAGACCCCUGCCAUCUUUUCCCUUUAAGAAUCACUACUCCAACAAAUCACCUUUUCAAAAGAGCAGGGAAGAAGUUAUGAAGCACAGGUCUACCUGUGGAAAGCCUCAAAGUGCUGGAGUGUGCCCCUGGAUUGUGAGGAUAUGGGGACCUCUGGCCCAACCUGGAGGUAGAAGGAGCUUGUAAUCAGCUGCAUGUGCUCCUUUGUUGACACCUGCAGGCGUCCUGGGUAGAUGCCUGGCCUUGCUCACCUCUUUACAAGGUUGCUGGUUCCUGCUGUCUGAUUCUGUCUUUUCUACUUUCCCUUUCUCCAUGGCACCCACUCUACAACCACAGGUCACCAGCCCCCUGGGAUAGCAAAGCCAAUGUUAUACUAUGAACUACCCCAGUCUGUUCUAAGGAGUGUCAAAAUGAGCAUAUUUAGAUCCAAGACCAAUUUUACAACUCUCCACACAGAGGUCCAGUCUUAAUAUAAGACAUGAUGGGAGACCAGUAGGAAACUUUAUUAAGAUUAUGAUAGCUGAUGACACUUUCCUGGCUAUCCACAAAGAGAAUAGCAUGCAUUGCAUGUACACAACACACACACACACACACACACACUUUGCAGGGAGCCAAGGCACAAAGCCUCACAUCCUGACCUAGUCUCAUGCAGAGAAUGGAUAAGGAUAUUCAAUGAAGGUUUGAAUGGAAUGUGGCUGACUGCUAUCAAUCAGCCUUAAAACACCACAAGCUAAUCUCUUACCCUCUCGCAACAGAGAAGCUCUAGCUCUGUGCACAUCUUGCCAUUCUCUCUAUUUCCUCAAGGCCAUUAUGAUCAAGAAUGAGGGCUCCUGGCCAGUUCCACAGAAGCCAGAAUGGAAUGUCUCAGCAUUCCAAGCAUUCCAUCAGACAUCACCCGGAGUUUUCUCUACCAAAUACUGUACCAAUGCAAGUUUUCAGCCUAGCCAUCAGGGGAGAGUAGAGUUAGCCAAAACGACGAGCUUGCAUGAAAGACACACAUUUUGAGUCCCAGCUCUUCAGGUACAAGCUGUGUGGUCUUGGACAAAGUUUGUUACCUCCUUGGGACUGCUUUUCCUCAUUUGCAAUAAAGUAAUUUUUAUCUUUUACAGUAGUAAUGAAUACUAUAUAGGAUAAGGGUGUUAAAAUCAUAGUUUAGUGCCUUGCUUAUAGUAGUAAAGCUCACUGCUUUUAAGUAUAAAUAUAUACAUAUUUAUAUUUAUUUUAAGUAUCUAAUAUUUAAUUAAAUAUAAAUAAAUAUUAAACAUAUUGAAUAUGUAAUAAAAUAUAUUAGAUAUUAAAUACACAAAAUAAUAAAAUAUUUAGUUAUAUUUAAGCAUAUUUAUUUUAUAUAUGUAUAUAAAACUGGCCCCAGACUGUAUGUGUGUAUUGGUUCCCUGGAGGGAGGCAAUUUACUCCUAAGGCUGAGGAAUCUUAAGAUACAGAUGCGGAUUUUAGCUAAGCUUACUCUGAGCCACUGGGAGGAAUCCAUACAAAAUGUUCUGGUAUCUGGGUGGCCCCACCCCAUCCUUACCUCUUGACAGGUUUUCCAUGACUGUGACUAGUUAUGAGAAGAAAAGAUUAAGUAAAGAUUAGAGUGAGUCACCUCAUAUUGAGUCAGCUUGAAAAGGAAGCUGAGAAAGACUCCAGCAAACCUGACAUUGUUAUGGGCAGGUGAGGAAACUGAGACCUGGGAAAAGGAAAUGACUUGCUCAGGAUCAGACAGGUUGCCAGUGGCAGAACCAAGGCAGCAACUCAGGUCUAGGGACUCUCUGCCCAUUGCUCUUUAUAUGGAGCUAUAUUUAGUGCCUACUAAAACAAAUGGAAGGUGAACCUCCUUGCUGCCUCAGCCCUUGAGGGCAGAGGAGACUCAAGCCCAAGGGUUACCCGGACAGCUGAGGACACAGAGAAUGGUUUCCUUAAUAUGUUGCUGAAGAGAGAGAUGGAAGCAGAAAUGUCUGAUACCUGACAGCAAAAUAUCCAGAAGACAGAGGGCUAAAUACCAGGGGGUUGGGGGGCAACAGUGACAGUUCUCUGCCCCUGGACGGCCUGAGACAGUGCUUACACACAUGAACACACAAACACACACAUGAACACACACUAAAACAGAAAGCAUCACUGUGACUUAGGAGACUUCAGCAGACUUGGGAACAGGACAAGUCCACUGUCUCUUCUGUUCCAGGCGCCAGUAAUGGAAAACCAGGCCAGGGUCCGUACACAGACAUGUAGGGGAAGGCAGAGCAGAACCAACGGGGACGUAUCCACAGACAGGGCUCUGGACAAAGGAGUCCUGGUAGCUGAAGCUAGAGCCUCUCUGCUGAAAUCCUGCAAGGAGCAGGCUGAUGCCUGUCACAGCCAAGGCCUCUGGGACGCUGCUCCAGAUUCUGUUCUCAGCGGUCAAAGUCAGCCUCCACAACUGCAGAAUUUACAUUGAAUAAUACCCCUGUGUGUGUCAUUGAUAUGAGCGUGUAUCCCUGUAUAAACAUAUAUGAGUGUGUGACUGUGUGAACGUGCUGCUUUUGCCUUACCAAUGGAUCAGUGGUCAGCAGGGAGGUCCAGACCAAUGCUGGUCCCUAAACUGCUUCACAUCCUCUUCUCCGCCUACUCCUUCCAACUCUGUAGAUACUUUUCCAUGGUUUGGCUUAGAUUAGCUGAAGAACUCAAACCCAAAUAUUUCAGUAGCAAUGCCUGCGUAACUAGAGGAAAUAUGAACAUCAGCAGAUCCAUGAGUUUUCAGUGUAAAAUCCUAUCAAUCUUUUCUGGCCUAAGCCCUCACUACCCAGAACAGAUUUUCUGGGGUAGAGUCUGCUAUCUCAAGCAUGAAUCAUGUAGUAUUGCUGUUACCACCAGAGGACAGAAGAAAUGGGUACUCUAGUAGCCACAGGUACAACUAAACACUUUUCCUGGGCAUUUGGAAUGGUAUUGUUCCCUGACUUUUGUUAGCAUCGCUCUUUCUCUUUCUCCAAGACUCUGUUGCUUAUGUACACACACACACACACACACACACUCAGGCAGAGGCACCACUGUGACCAAGGAGGUCUCAGCAGCCUUAGGCAAAGGCUAAGCCCACUGUGUCUUCUGUGGCAGGUAUCUGUGAAGGAACACCAGGUCAGGGCCCGUGCACAGACAUGCAGGGGAAGGCAGAGCAGAACAAAUGGGACCGCGUCAAAAGACAGAGCUCCAGACAAAGGACUCCUGGUGGCUGGAGCUAGAGCCUCUCUUCUAAAAAACAUUGCCAGCUGGGGAUGCCCAGGGGCACGGCACGAUGUGUGCCCAGCAUCUGGGCUGGUGAGAGAGGCCCUCACUUUCCCAGGGUGCCUGUGGUUGGGGGAUGAGGGAGGGGCAGGCCUCCACUGCCUGUCAGAAUCUCUGUUCGAGUUUGUAAUUCAGGCCUUGAAGUUUGAGCUAUUCUCAUUUUACAGCUUAGAAAGUUUAUGUUGGCUAAGGUUACUUAAGUAAAAAGUAGGGAAGAGAGGUUUUGAACCCAGCUCUGCCAGGCUCCAGGAUGGGUGUGUGUUCUCUUUCUUGCACCAUACAAGCUUCUAGGGAAUUUCUUUGUUUGGAAGAGGUAAGUUUAUUCUUCCCUGAGGAAGGCACACUUCUUUGGAAGGCCUCAGCAUCAUGCCCUUCAUCUGGGGAUCUUUGUGUUUGAAUAUACUCUCAAGGUCAAUGGGCAGAUAAUCUCCUGGAAUGUUGCAGAAGCCUGGCAAAGGGUCUGGACUGUAUGCUCUGGGGCCAUGCACAUGAGCAAGAAUGAGAAUGUGAGCAUGUGCUUUGGUGCCUGUGUUUGUGUGAGUGUGUGUAGAUGAGUGAAGACUUAUUUCAUGGUGAUUGACAGCUUGUGAUGGUUUGUGUGUGUGUGUUGUGUGUGGCCUCACGUGAGGGGUCAUGAAUGGAUCUAUGAGGGAAUAUGAACUUGAGUGUGCGAGAGUGAGUGUGCACAGGGCUGAGAGUCAAGAGGUAUGCACAUGUGUUGCUGACUCCACAGUUAAAAUGUUAAAAGAACUUCUGUAACAGGUGGCUCCUAGGCUCUGAGAGCUGCCCACCUGCGUGCCUGCACCCACCCUGGAAGGCAGCCCGCUCAGUCCUACAGCAUGGAGAAGCUGCGAGACUGACACCUGUCCCAGCGGAGGCCUCUGGGACGCUGCUGCAACUUCUGUUCUCAGUGGCCAGUGGAAGUCUCCACACUUGCAGAAUUUACGCUGAAUAACAACCCCGUGUGUAUCAUUGAUAUGAGUAUGUACCCCUGUAUUAACACGUGUCAGUGUG
Molecule: long non-coding RNA, 8182 nt
Organism: Orcinus orca (killer whale)
Lineage: Eukaryota; Metazoa; Chordata; Mammalia; Artiodactyla; Delphinidae
Exons: 2
Source: RefSeq, a predicted model, not a curated record